RNAcentral lists this ribosomal RNA (468 nucleotides) under uncultured bacterium. RNAcentral describes it as "partial 16S ribosomal RNA". It matches the Rfam family "Bacterial small subunit ribosomal RNA", at positions 28 to 507 of the family's 1533-position model. The record is from RNAcentral.
GACGAACGCUGGCGGCGUGCUUAACACAUGCAAGUCGAACGGAAAGGCCCUGCUUUUGUGGGGUGCUCGAGUGGCGAACGGGUGAGUAACACGUGAGUAACCUGCCCUUGACUUUGGGGUAACUUCAGGAAACUGGGGCUAAUACCGGAUAGGAGCUCCUGCUGCAUGGUGGGGGUUGGAAAGUUUCGGCGGUUGGGGAUGGACUCGCGGCUUAUCAGCUUGUUGGUGGGGUAGUGGCUUACCAAGGCUUUGACGGGUAGCCGGCCUGAGAGGGUGACCGGCCACAUUGGGACUGAGAUACGGCCCAGACUCCUACGGGAGGCAGCAGUGGGGAAUACUGCACAAUGGGCGGAAGCCUGAUGCAGCAACGCCGCGUGCGGGAUGACGGCCUUCGGGUUGUAAACCGCUUUCGCCUGUGACGAAGCGUGAGUGACGGUAAUGGGUAAAGAAGCACCGGCUAACUACGUG